AGUGAACGCUGGCGGUAGGCCUAACACAUGCAAGUCGAACGGCAGCACAGUAAGAGCUUGCUCUUACGGGUGGCGAGUGGCGGACGGGUGAGGAAUACCUCGGAAUCUACUUUUUCGUGGGGGAUAACGUCGGGAAACUUACGCUAAUACCGCAUACGACCUACGGGUGAAAGCAGGGGAUCUUCGGCCCUUGCGCGAUUGAAUGAGCCGAUGUCGGAUUAGCUAGUUGGCGGGGUAAAGGCCCACCACGGCGACGAUCCGUAGCUGGACUGAGAGGAUGAUCAGCCACACUGGAACUGGGACACGGUCCAAACUCCUACGAGAGGCAGCAGUGGGGAAUAUUGGACAAUGGGCGCAAGCAUGAUCCAGCCAUACCGCGUGGGUGAAGAAGGCCUUCGGGUUGUAAAGACCUUUUGUUGGGAAAGAAAAGCAGCAGGUUAAUACCCCGCUGUUCUGACGGUACCCAAAGAAUAAGCACCGGCUAACUUCGUG
Molecule: ribosomal RNA, 492 nt
Filed under: uncultured bacterium
Lineage: Bacteria
Description: partial 16S ribosomal RNA
Rfam family: Bacterial small subunit ribosomal RNA
Source: RNAcentral